AAACUAAACGUACCCACGUUCGGAUUGUAGUCUACAACCCGACCUACAUGAAGCUGGAAUCGCUAGUAAUCGCGGAUCAGAAUGCCGCGGUGAAUACGUUCCCGGGUCUUGUACACACCGCCCGUCACACCAUGGGAGUCAGUAACGCCCGAAGUCAGUGACCCAACCUUAGGGAGGGAGCUGCCGAAGGCGGGACGGAUAACUGGGGUGAAGUCGUAACAAGGUACC
This 228-nucleotide ribosomal RNA is filed under the name uncultured bacterium. RNAcentral describes it as "partial 16S ribosomal RNA". It matches the Rfam family "Bacterial small subunit ribosomal RNA", at positions 1274 to 1500 of the family's 1533-position model. The record is from RNAcentral.